Vicia faba (fava bean) is the source of this 225-nucleotide non-coding RNA. The record is from the annotation of a GenBank genome assembly. NCBI's taxonomy places the organism in Eukaryota, Viridiplantae, Streptophyta, Magnoliopsida, Fabales, Fabaceae.
AUGACUUCGUAUGAACAACAAGGAAAGCCUUUGCCCAAAUUCGGGGACUGGGAUGUAAAUGAUCCUGCAUCAGCUGAAGGAUUCACUGUUAUAUUCAACAAAGCCAGAGAUGAGAAAAAAACUGGCGGAGGAGGAUCGGCCCGAAUUAAUUCACAACGAAGAUCUGAGUCGCGCAAAGAAGAUGAUAAAUCUGCCAAAAAAAAGUGGUUUUGCUUCAAACCGUAG